This 2922-nucleotide ribosomal RNA is filed under the name [Kluyvera] intestini. RNAcentral's name for it is "bacterial LSU rRNA". It matches the Rfam family "Bacterial large subunit ribosomal RNA". Lineage: Bacteria; Pseudomonadati; Pseudomonadota; Gammaproteobacteria; Enterobacterales; Enterobacteriaceae. The record is from RNAcentral.
GGGUUGUGAGGUUAAGCGACUAAGCGUACACGGUGGAUGCCCUGGCAGUCAGAGGCGAUGAAGGACGUGCUAAUCUGCGAAAAGCGUCGGUAAGGUGAUAUGAACCGUUACAGCCGGCGAUGUCCGAAUGGGGAAACCCAGUGUGAUUCGUCACACUAUCGUUAACUGAAUACAUAGGUUAACGAGGCGAACCGGGGGAACUGAAACAUCUAAGUACCCCGAGGAAAAGAAAUCAACCGAGAUUCCCCCAGUAGCGGCGAGCGAACGGGGAGCAGCCCAGAGCCUGAAUCAGCUUGUGUGUUAGUGGAACGGUCUGGAAAGUCCGGCGAUACAGGGUGACAGCCCCGUACACCAAAAUGCACAGGCUGUGAGCUCGAAGAGUAGGGCGGGACACGUGGUAUCCUGUCUGAAUAUGGGGGGACCAUCCUCCAAGGCUAAAUACUCCUGACUGACCGAUAGUGAACCAGUACCGUGAGGGAAAGGCGAAAAGAACCCCGGCGAGGGGAGUGAAAAAGAACCUGAAACCGUGUACGUACAAGCAGUGGGAGCACCUUCGGGGUGACUGCGUACCUUUUGUAUAAUGGGUCAGCGACUUAUAUUCUGUAGCAAGGUUAACCGUAUAGGGGAGCCGCAGGGAAACCGAGUCUUAACUGGGCGUUAAGUUGCAGGGUAUAGACCCGAAACCCGGUGAUCUAGCCAUGGGCAGGUUGAAGGUUGGGUAACACUAACUGGAGGACCGAACCGACUAAUGUUGAAAAAUUAGCGGAUGACUUGUGGCUGGGGGUGAAAGGCCAAUCAAACCGGGAGAUAGCUGGUUCUCCCCGAAAGCUAUUUAGGUAGCGCCUCGUGAAUUCAUCUCCGGGGGUAGAGCACUGUUUCGGCUAGGGGGCCAUCCCGGCUUACCAACCCGAUGCAAACUACGAAUACCGGAGAAUGUUAUCACGGGAGACACACGGCGGGUGCUAACGUCCGUCGUGAAGAGGGAAACAACCCAGACCGCCAGCUAAGGUCCCAAAGUCAUGGUUAAGUGGGAAACGAUGUGGGAAGGCACAGACAGCCAGGAUGUUGGCUUAGAAGCAGCCAUCAUUUAAAGAAAGCGUAAUAGCUCACUGGUCGAGUCGGCCUGCGCGGAAGAUGUAACGGGGCUAAACCAUGCACCGAAGCUGCGGCAGCGACACUAAGUGUUGUUGGGUAGGGGAGCGUUCUGUAAGCCUGCGAAGGUGUGCUGUGAGGCAUGCUGGAGGUAUCAGAAGUGCGAAUGCUGACAUAAGUAACGAUAAAGCGGGUGAAAAGCCCGCUCGCCGGAAGACCAAGGGUUCCUGUCCAACGUUAAUCGGGGCAGGGUGAGUCGACCCCUAAGGCGAGGCCGAAAGGCGUAGUCGAUGGGAAACAGGUUAAUAUUCCUGUACUUGGUGUUACUGCGAAGGGGGGACGGAGAAGGCUAUGUUAGCCGGGCGACGGUUGUCCCGGUUUAAGCAUGUAGGCUGGUUAUCCAGGCAAAUCCGGAUAAUCAAGGCUGAGGUGUGAUGACGAGUCACUACGGUGAUGAAGUAACAAAUGCCCUGCUUCCAGGAAAAGCCUCUAAGCAUCAGGUAACACGAAAUCGUACCCCAAACCGACACAGGUGGUCAGGUAGAGAAUACCAAGGCGCUUGAGAGAACUCGGGUGAAGGAACUAGGCAAAAUGGUGCCGUAACUUCGGGAGAAGGCACGCUGAUAUGUAGGUGAAGCCCCUGCGGGCGGAGCUGAAAUCAGUCGAAGAUACCAGCUGGCUGCAACUGUUUAUUAAAAACACAGCACUGUGCAAACACGAAAGUGGACGUAUACGGUGUGACGCCUGCCCGGUGCCGGAAGGUUAAUUGAUGGGGUUAUCCGUAAGGAGAAGCUCUUGAUCGAAGCCCCGGUAAACGGCGGCCGUAACUAUAACGGUCCUAAGGUAGCGAAAUUCCUUGUCGGGUAAGUUCCGACCUGCACGAAUGGCGUAAUGAUGGCCAGGCUGUCUCCACCCGAGACUCAGUGAAAUUGAACUCGCUGUGAAGAUGCAGUGUACCCGCGGCAAGACGGAAAGACCCCGUGAACCUUUACUAUAGCUUGACACUGAACAUUGAGCCUUGAUGUGUAGGAUAGGUGGGAGGCUUUGAAGCGUGGACGCCAGUCUGCGUGGAGCCAACCUUGAAAUACCACCCUUUAAUGUUUGAUGUUCUAACGUGGACCCGUAAUCCGGGUUGCGGACAGUGUCUGGUGGGUAGUUUGACUGGGGCGGUCUCCUCCCAAAGAGUAACGGAGGAGCACGAAGGUUGGCUAAUCCUGGUCGGACAUCAGGAGGUUAGUGCAAUGGCAUAAGCCAGCUUGACUGCGAGCGUGACGGCGCGAGCAGGUGCGAAAGCAGGUCAUAGUGAUCCGGUGGUUCUGAAUGGAAGGGCCAUCGCUCAACGGAUAAAAGGUACUCCGGGGAUAACAGGCUGAUACCGCCCAAGAGUUCAUAUCGACGGCGGUGUUUGGCACCUCGAUGUCGGCUCAUCACAUCCUGGGGCUGAAGUAGGUCCCAAGGGUAUGGCUGUUCGCCAUUUAAAGUGGUACGCGAGCUGGGUUUAGAACGUCGUGAGACAGUUCGGUCCCUAUCUGCCGUGGGCGCUGGAGAAUUGAGGGGGGCUGCUCCUAGUACGAGAGGACCGGAGUGGACGCAUCACUGGUGUUCGGGUUGUCAUGCCAAUGGCACUGCCCGGUAGCUACAUGCGGAAGAGAUAAGUGCUGAAAGCAUCUAAGCACGAAACUUGCCCCGAGAUGAGUUCUCCCCUGGACUUUAAGUCCACUAAAGGAACGUUGAAGACGACGACGUUGAUAGGCCGGGUGUGUAAGCGCAGCGAUGCGUUGAGCUAACCGGUACUAAUGAACCGUGAGGCUUAACCUUACAACGCCGAAG